GUUGCGGUUAAAAGCUCGUAGUUGGAUUUCUGUUGAAGACCGGCGGCCCACCUUUUGGGUGAGUAUCUGCUUGGGCUUCGGCAUCUUCUCGGAAUACGUUGCUGCGCUUGAUUGCGUGGUUCGGAGUCCGGGACUUUUACUUUGAGGAAAUUAGAGUGUUCACGGCAGGCAUACGCCUUGAAUAUAUUAGCAUGGAAUAAUAAUAUAGGAUCUUGGUUCUAUUUUGUUGGUUUCUAGAGCUAAGAUAAUGAUUAAUAGGGACAAUUGGGGGCAUUCGUAUUAACGCGUCAGAGGUGAAAUUCUUGGAUUGCGUUACGACGAACUACUGCGAAAGCAUUUGCCAAGGAUGUUUUCAUUGAUCAAGAACGAAAGUAAGGGGACCGAAAAUGAUUAGAUACCGUCGUAUUUUUUACCAUAAACUAUGCCAACUAGAGAUGGGGCGUCGUACUACUAUUACUCGCUCCGCACCUUAUGAGAAAUCAAAGUCUUUGGGUUCCGGGGGGAGUAUGGUCGCAAGGCUGAAACUUAAAGGAAUUGACGGAAGGGCACCACCAGGAGUGGAGCCUGCGGCUUAAUUUGACUCAACACGGGAAAACUCACCAGGUCCAGACAUAGUAAGGAUUGACAGAUUGAUAGCUCUUUCUUGAUU
This 649-nucleotide ribosomal RNA is filed under the name uncultured Syndiniales. RNAcentral's name for it is "SSU rRNA". It matches the Rfam family "Eukaryotic small subunit ribosomal RNA", at positions 612 to 1267 of the family's 1831-position model. The record is from RNAcentral. Lineage: Eukaryota; Dinophyceae; Syndiniales.